This is a long non-coding RNA of Calidris pugnax (ruff), 619 nucleotides long. RefSeq lists it as uncharacterized. The record is from RefSeq and is a predicted model, not a curated record. The transcript has 3 exons. Lineage: Eukaryota; Metazoa; Chordata; Aves; Charadriiformes; Scolopacidae.
UCUUAUUGACUAGUAAGAGAGGAAGGGAGAAAAAUUUCCCUCUGAGCUGGACAUUCAUGUUGGCUUCAAAGCGUCAUAAUUUUCUGUACACCAUGGUACUUAGCCUCAAAAUCCUCCUUUGCAGUAAAUAUCACUGAAUCACAGAAUCUUCUAGGUUGAAAGGGACCUCAAAGAUCAUCUUGUCCAACCGUCAACCUAACUGACAAAAACAGACAUCCGCACAACAAACAAGAAGCAUCACCAUCACUAAACCAUACCAUUACUUGCUUGUUACAAACAGGAAACUACAGAAAUGAUCACAUCAUUGAAAAGACAUUGUAUUAAAUGGGAAAGAUAAUCUUAGUGGUAUCUGGAAAAUACCUAACUUGGAAAUGAAGGCUCCUGAAAUGCUGCAUGGAGGAGUUCAGAGGCACCUGCACACUAAAGCACUUCCCCUCAGUACACCGUUUACUAUGGGAAAUUUUUAGAGAUGGGAAGAAAACCCCGCAGCGGUAAAGCAGAGGGCCCCUCUUGGUUUGGACUGAUUUUCUUUGGAGAACUGACAGCAGCCAUCCCUACUCGGGUCACCCAGCGCAGCAAAGCAACGCUUCAGGCUUUGAGGACCCACUAGUGGCUGCUG